RNAcentral lists this ribosomal RNA (464 nucleotides) under uncultured bacterium. RNAcentral describes it as "bacterial SSU rRNA". It matches the Rfam family "Bacterial small subunit ribosomal RNA", at positions 330 to 792 of the family's 1533-position model. The record is from RNAcentral.
UCCAGACUCCUACGGGAGGCAGCAGUGAGGAAUAUUGGUCAAUGGGCGGGAGCCUGAACCAGCCAAGCCGCGUGAAGGAAGAAGGCGCCAAGCGUCGUAAACUUCUUUUGUCGGGGAACAAAGGGCGCCACGUGUGGCGUUGUGAGUGUACCCGAAGAAAAAGCAUCGGCUAACUCCGUGCCAGCAGCCGCGGUAAUACGGAGGAUGCGAGCGUUAUCCGGAUUUAUUGGGUUUAAAGGGUGCGUAGGCGGAACAUUAAGUCAGCGGUAAAAUCGAGGGGCUCAACCCCUUUAAGCCGUUGAAACUGGUGAUCUUGAGUGGGCGAGAAGUAUGCGGAAUGCGUGGUGUAGCGGUGAAAUGCAUAGAUAUCACGCAGAACUCCGAUUGCGAAGGCAGCAUACCGGCGCCCGACUGACGCUGAGGCACGAAAGCGUGGGUAUCGAACAGGAUUAGAUACCCCCGUA